AUUGAACGCUGGCGGCAGGCCUAACACAUGCAAGUCGAGCGGAUGAAGGGAGCUUGCUCCUGGAUUCAGCGGCGGACGGGUGAGUAAUGCCUAGGAAUCUGCCUGGUAGUGGGGGAUAACGUCCGGAAACGGGCGCUAAUACCGCAUACGUCCUGAGGGAGAAAGUGGGGGAUCUUCGGACCUCACGCUAUCAGAUGAGCCUAGGUCGGAUUAGCUAGUUGGUGGGGUAAAGGCCUACCAAGGCGACGAUCCGUAACUGGUCUGAGAGGAUGAUCAGUCACACGGGAGCUGAAAGAGGGUCGAGACACCGAGGGGAGGCAGGGGGGGGAAAUUGGGGACAAGGGGAAAAAGCUUGACCCACCCGGGCGGGGGGUGUGAAGAAGUUCUGCGAAUUGAAAAGCAUUUUAGGUUGGGAGAAAGGGAAGAAAGUAAAUACGUUGCUGUUUGGCCGUAACAAAAAAAAAAAACACCGGCUAACUUGGUG
RNAcentral lists this ribosomal RNA (484 nucleotides) under uncultured bacterium. RNAcentral's name for it is "partial 16S ribosomal RNA". It matches the Rfam family "Bacterial small subunit ribosomal RNA", at positions 29 to 507 of the family's 1533-position model. The record is from RNAcentral.